RNAcentral lists this long non-coding RNA (291 nucleotides) under Sorghum bicolor (sorghum). Its description in RNAcentral is "long non-coding RNA (SBIC_LNC000616)". Lineage: Eukaryota; Viridiplantae; Streptophyta; Magnoliopsida; Poales; Poaceae. The record is from RNAcentral.
AGGCACGAAGCCAGCGGUAGGGCUAGGGGGGCUCCAGCCCCCCCUACCGCUGCUGGCCUAGUGAAAUUUCUAGUGUUUUUCUUUUAAUUUUAGACAUAAAUUUAUAAAGUAGGGUUGGCUGAGAACUUUAUUUUUUAGAUAUAUUUUGUGAAUUUUAUUAUUGGUCUAUAUUUUUAAUCUAAGACUACUUUAAACUAAUAUAUUUUUUAUUACGAGGGAUAAUAGUAGAGCUAGGUCGAUGUAGAAUUUUUGUUCAGCCCUCCCUAAAUUUUUUUCUGGCUUCGUCCCUGA